RNAcentral lists this ribosomal RNA (254 nucleotides) under uncultured bacterium. RNAcentral describes it as "partial 16S ribosomal RNA". It matches the Rfam family "Bacterial small subunit ribosomal RNA", at positions 524 to 776 of the family's 1533-position model. The record is from RNAcentral.
CACGUAGGCACCAAGCGUUGUCCGGAUUUAUAGGGCGUAAAGAGCUCGUAGGCGGUUCAGUAAGUCGGGUGUGAAAACUCUGGGCUCAACCCAGAGACGCCACCCGAUACUGCUGUGACUUGAGUACGGUAGGGGAGUGGGGAAUUCCUGGUGUAGCGGUGAAAUGCGCAGAUAUCAGGAGGAACACCAGUGGCGAAGGCGCCACUCUGGGCCGUAACUGACGCUGAGGAGCGAAAGCGUGGGGAGCGAACAGG